RNAcentral lists this long non-coding RNA (330 nucleotides) under Pandoravirus neocaledonia. RNAcentral's name for it is "hypothetical ncRNA". The record is from RNAcentral.
GCCGUCUCGGCGGUCGACGCGUCGUGUGCGCUCGCAUGCCGAGCGCCGACGACAGAUGCAUUGCUGAUGGCGCUAUUGAUGGGAUCACCGAUGCGUGAGCCUUUGGCUGCGGGCGUGUUGGUGUGCAUCUGCAUGAGCGGGGUGUGUUGUGUUUUCUUUUCCUCCCCGCUGUCUUCUUUUUCUUUUCACCCGGCGGUCCGCGUGCGCCUUUUUUUCUGCCCCCUCUUGCUGUUCCUUUGCUUUUUCCCUCUAUCCCGGCGCCUUUUUUCCUCUCUGUCUGUAUGUGGGUUCGGUUGAGGCUGUGGGCACGUUGUAUCUUUUUUCCUCUCG